CAGUAGCCGCGGUAAUACGUAGGUGGCAAGCGUUGUCCGGAAUUAUUGGGCGUAAAGGGCUCGCAGGCGGUUUCUUAAGUCUGAUGUGAAAGCCCCCGGCUCAACCGGGGAGGGUCAUUGGAAACUGGGAAACUUGAGUGCAGAAGAGGAGAGUGGAAUUCCACGUGUAGCGGUGAAAUGCGUAGAGAUGUGGAGGAACACCAGUGGCGAAGGCGACUCACUGGUCUGUAACUGACGCUGAGGAGCGAAAGCGUGGGGAGCGAACAGGAUUAGAUACCCCGGUAGUCCCUGUCUCUUAUAC
RNAcentral lists this ribosomal RNA (301 nucleotides) under uncultured bacterium. RNAcentral's name for it is "partial 16S ribosomal RNA". It matches the Rfam family "Bacterial small subunit ribosomal RNA", at positions 509 to 807 of the family's 1533-position model. The record is from RNAcentral.